Molecule: ribosomal RNA, 318 nt
Filed under: uncultured bacterium
Lineage: Bacteria
Description: bacterial SSU rRNA
Rfam family: Bacterial small subunit ribosomal RNA
Source: RNAcentral
GAGUUUGAUCCUGGCUCAGAACGAACGCUGGCGGCAUGCCUAACACAUGCAAGUCGAACGAUGCUUUCGGGCAUAGUGGCGCACGGGUGCGUAACGCGUGGGAAUCUGCCCUUGGGUACGGAAUAACAGUGAGAAAUUACUGCUAAUACCGUAUGAUGACGUAAGUCCAAAGAUUUAUCGCCCAAGGAUGAGCCCGCGUAGGAUUAGCUAGUUGGUGGGGUAAAGGCCUACCAAGGCGACGAUCCUUAGCUGGUCUGAGAGGAUGAUCAGCCACACUGGGACUGAGACACGGCCCAGACUCCUACGGGACGCAGCAGA